ACGAACGCUGGCGGCGUGCCUCAUACAUGCAAGUAGAACGCACAGUUUAUACCGUAGCUUGCUACACCAUAGACUGUGAGUUGCGAACGGGUGAGUAACGCGUAGGUAACCUGCCUGGUAGCGGGGGAUAACUAUUGGAAACGAUAGCUAAUACCGCAUAAUAUUAAUUAUUGCAUGAUAAUUAAUUGAAAGGUGCAAUUGCACCACUACCAGAUGGACCUGCGUUGUAUUAGCUAGUAGGUGAGGUAACGGCUCACCUAGGCGACGAUACAUAGCCGACCUGAGAGGGUGAUCGGCCACACUGGGACUGAGACACGGCCCAGACUCCUACGGGAGGCAGCAGUAGGGAAUCUUCGGCAAUGGACGAAAGUCUGACCGAGCAACGCCGCGUGAGUGAAGAAGGUUUUCGGAUCGUAAAGCUCUGUCGUAAGAGAAGAACGGGUGUGAGAGUGGAAAGUUCACACUGUGACGGUAUCUUACCAGAAAGGGACGGCUAACUACGUG
This 504-nucleotide ribosomal RNA is filed under the name uncultured bacterium. RNAcentral's name for it is "partial 16S ribosomal RNA". It matches the Rfam family "Bacterial small subunit ribosomal RNA", at positions 29 to 507 of the family's 1533-position model. The record is from RNAcentral.